This 110-nucleotide ribosomal RNA is filed under the name Helicobacter pylori Hp H-36. The record is from RNAcentral. Lineage: Bacteria; Pseudomonadati; Campylobacterota; Epsilonproteobacteria; Campylobacterales; Helicobacteraceae.
UUUAGAGAAGAGGAACUACCCAGUUUAACCAUUCCGAACCUGGAAGUCAAGCUCUUCAUCGCUGAUAAUACUGCUCUUUUCAAGAGUGGGAAUGUAGGUCGGUGCAGGGA